This 806-nucleotide ribosomal RNA is filed under the name uncultured bacterium. Its description in RNAcentral is "bacterial SSU rRNA". It matches the Rfam family "Bacterial small subunit ribosomal RNA", at positions 8 to 796 of the family's 1533-position model. The record is from RNAcentral.
AGAGUUUGAUCCUGGCUCAGAACGAACGCUGGCGGCGUGCCUAACACAUGCAAGUCGAGCGCGAAUGGAGCAAUCCUAGUAGAGCGGCGCACGGGUGCGUAACACGUGGAUAAUCUGCCUGGGUGUCUGGGAUAACCAGUCGAAAGAUUGGCUAAUACCGGAUAAGCCCCCGGGAGCUUCGGCUCCUGAGGGAAAAGGUGGCCUCUGUAUACAAGCUAUCACAUCCAGAUGAGUCCGCGGCCCAUCAGCUAGUUGGCGGGGUAAUGGCCCACCAAGGCAACGACGGGUAGCUGGUCUGAGAGGACGAUCAGCCACACUGGAACUGAGACACGGUCCAGACUCCUACGGGAGGCAGCAGUGGGGAAUUUUGCGCAAUGGGCGAAAGCCUGACGCAGCAACGCCGCGUGUGUGAUGAAGGUCUUCGGAUUGUAAAGCACUUUCGACCGGGACGAAAACCCUGAAGCCAACACCUUCAGGCUUGACGGUACCGGGAGAAGAAGCACCGGCUAACUCUGUGCCAGCAGCCGCGGUAAUACAGAGGGUGCAAGCGUUGUUCGGAAUUAUUGGGCGUAAAGCGCGUGUAGGCGGCUUUGCAAGUCGGGUGUGAAAGCCCUCAGCUCAACUGAGGAAGUGCGCCCGAAACUGCAGAGCUUGAGUGCCGGAGAGGGUGGCGGAAUUCCCCAAGUAGAGGUGAAAUUCGUAGAUAUGGGGAGGAACACCGGUGGCGAAGGCGGCCACCUGGACGGUAACUGACGCUGAGACGCGAAAGCGUGGGGAGCAAACAGGAUUAGAUACCCUAGUAGUCC